This 244-nucleotide unclassified non-coding RNA is filed under the name uncultured Microcyclospora. RNAcentral describes it as "sequence contains 5.8S rRNA gene". The stretch from base 1 to 53 matches the Rfam family "5.8S ribosomal RNA", at positions 102 to 154 of the family's 154-position model. Lineage: Eukaryota; Fungi; Ascomycota; Dothideomycetes; Capnodiales. The record is from RNAcentral.
GAACGCACCUUGCGCUCCCUGGUAUUCCGGGGAGCAUGCCUGUCCGAGCGUCAUUACACCACUCAAGCCUGGCUUGGUCUUGGGCGCCGCGGUCUCCCGCGCGCCUCAAUGUCGUCGGCCGAUGCGUCCGUCUCCGAGCGUUGUGAUUUAUCAAACCGCUCGCGGGGUCGGGGGCCUCGCGCCGGGAAACCCACAUUUUUACAGGUUGACCUCGGAUCAGGUAGGGAUACCCGCUGAACUUAAG